CCUACGGGUGACAGCAGUGAGGAAUAUUGGUCAAUGGACGAGCGUCUGAACCAGCCAAGUAGCGUGAAGGAUGACUGCCCUAUGGGUUGUAAACUUCUUUUAUAUGGGAAUAACAUGUUCCACGUGUGGGAUUUUGUAUGUACCAUAUGAAUAAGGAUCGGCUAACUCCGUGCCAGCAGCCGCGGUAAUACGGAGGAUCCGAGCGUUAUCCGGAUUUAUUGGGUUUAAAGGGAGCGUAGGUGGAUUGUUAAGUCAGUUGUGAAAGUUUGCGGCUCAAGCGUAAAAAUUAAGUUGAAACUGGCAGUCUUGAGGACAGUAGAGGUGGGCGGAAUGCGUGGUGUAGCGGUGAAAUGCUUAGAUAUCACGCAGAACUCCGAUUGCGAAGGCAGCUCACUGGCCUGCAACUGACACUGAGGCUCGAAAGUGUGGGUAUCAAACAGGAAUAGAUACCCCUGCAGUC
This 460-nucleotide ribosomal RNA is filed under the name uncultured bacterium. RNAcentral describes it as "partial 16S ribosomal RNA". It matches the Rfam family "Bacterial small subunit ribosomal RNA", at positions 338 to 795 of the family's 1533-position model. The record is from RNAcentral.